CUAGAGCAUGAUUUGUGUCCGGUCCGGUCCGUUGAAGCAGUGAUGCAUCCGUUGAGAAUCUGUAUGGUUGUUAACAUUUUAACUCUUUGGUUUAAAAUGCUGAUGCUCUAGUUGCCCGUUCUUUAGUGAAUGCCUUAGUCCUGCUAAACACAAUCCCUAGACACUCCUAGGACGUAACACCUGGAGUGUUUGAAAAGAAGUUUAUUCCACCGGUAAUGUUCAACCUCGGAAAAAGGAUCAACCUCUCAGCGACAGGAUUCAGGAUGACAGAUAGCACUAGGUGGAUUUCCCAAGGGAACAACGCCACAGCUGACAUACACAAGUCUCGGGGUGGCAGUAGAGUUUCUGGGAUCUGUGGCGGUUAUUGUGGAAAAUGCACUCCCUCCUCCAGCUCUGGACGUCUUGUUGACGUUUCAUACAUCAACGUCGCUAGUUGACGUUGUUACACUUGCAUCAAGUGUACUGGUGAGGUCUGCUGACAAAUGUCUAAUUUAAUUUUAUUAUUAUUAUUUUUUUUUUUAAAAGAAAAAUUCUAUGUGUAUGAUUUUUCAAGUGCCAUACAAUUCACUUAUGAGCCAAGUGUUGAAUACCAGUAUAGGUUCUUUGGCAUCUAUUUCACUGGGUUGUAUUUAUACACUACUGUUAAAAAGCUUAUGGUUGUUUAUUUAUUUUUAUGUUUUGAGAAAUAAGUCUCUUAGACACAAGCGUCAUUUAUUUAAUCAAAAAUACAGCA
RNAcentral lists this long non-coding RNA (733 nucleotides) under Sinocyclocheilus grahami. RNAcentral's name for it is "lncRNA (ENSSGRG00000049469.1)". Lineage: Eukaryota; Metazoa; Chordata; Actinopteri; Cypriniformes; Cyprinidae. The record is from RNAcentral.